This 127-nucleotide small RNA is filed under the name Chryseobacterium sp. Leaf394. RNAcentral describes it as "Flavo-1 RNA". It matches the Rfam family "Flavo-1 RNA". Lineage: Bacteria; Pseudomonadati; Bacteroidota; Flavobacteriia; Flavobacteriales; Weeksellaceae. The record is from Rfam by way of RNAcentral.
UGUUCGCUCUCUGCGUAAGGGAUAGAAACGGCAUCCUUUUUUGUUUUUCUGCGCUGGCUCCUGAAAGGCUCAGCCUAAGAUUGCUUUGGCAAAAACAAAAAAGAUAUAGAGGAUAGCCCGACCCGCU